Octopus bimaculoides (California two-spot octopus) is the source of this 689-nucleotide long non-coding RNA. Lineage: Eukaryota; Metazoa; Mollusca; Cephalopoda; Octopoda; Octopodidae. The record is from RefSeq and is a predicted model, not a curated record.
GUUCGGGUCCGCGCUGCUUUAGUAGUACCCAUUUAAUAAAUACAACCUUCCCCCCUUUUAGGCCCGGACAACAAAUGUUGAAAAAAAGUAUCUACAAAAUGACUGAAGUCAAAAUAUUACACAACGACUUUUCAUGUUAAACCUUUGAAAGAAAUAAAGAGUGAAAUCAGAAAAUUUGAGAAAAAGGGAAUUUAGAAAACUGUUAGCCAUCAAGUUUUCCUUUCACACGUACAAAUACACGCACGCACACACACACACAUAUAGCUUCUUGUGUGCACGGGUACACAUACAUUUUUCCAUAUCUAUUAGCAAUGCUUUAUUACAGUACCUCUCCCUUUCUAUCUAUCUAUCUAUCUAUCUCCCAUUUUGUUUCCCUUCUCUGUCUCAGCGCCAUUAUCCACAUACACACAUACAUUCUCACUCACACAUACACAGAGUGGUUGAACCGAGUGGCAGACGACCAUUGAAUUUGUUUUCCAGUUUUGUUGAAUUUCUGCCGCACAGUUUUUAAUUCAAGAUAAGAAAGUUUUCAUUCCAUUAUUUCAAGAGCACAGUUAUUGCAUGAAAUAUUCACCAGAAACGAAUAAGGACCCCAGGAGCUGAUUGGUCUUUUAUUGACAACAGAAGGAUGAACAGUGAGGCCAAACCCUGCAGAAUUUCCACUCAGAACAGAAAGGGUUACAACGAAA